CUAAUUGAGAAUCCUGAUUCUCUCUGUGCUACUAUUUUGCAUGCAAGGUAUUUUCCAUCAGGAGAUUUAUUAAACGCUGAGUUGAAAAAAGGGAGCUCCUUUACAUGGCAAAGUAUAUGGGCUGGAUUAACAUCAAAACGUGGUCAUAUAUGGCGUGCGGGUGAUGGAACUAAUAUUGACAUCUAGAAAGACGAAUGGAUCCCUAAUAGUGAAUCACGCAAAGUUAUAACUAGAAGGGGCCAGAACAUUCUUAGCAGGGUGAGCGACCUUAUUGACCCUAACACAAAUCACUAGGAUGUGGAUCUAGUGAGGCAGACUUUUUGGCAAGUGGAUGUUCAAAGGAUUCUUGCUAUCCCUUUAUCAUCUUCUGGCAUGCAAGACUUUGUUGCUUGGAACCUGACUCGUACGAACACCUUCUCUAUGCGUUCAGCAUAUUAUGCAGAAUGGGAGGGCCAAUAUGGCCAAAGGUUAAACAUAGGCCAUCAAGCAUUUGGUAUCAAUCCACAUCCAAAUUGGGAUAAAAUUUGGGGUCUCAAAGUGCCCGCAAAGGUUAAAAUCUUUCUUUGGAGAGCUAUGCAUAAUACUAUUCCUUGUCGGGUUGCCCUGGCGAACCGCCAUAUCAAAGUGAGCGGGCAGUGCCCAGUAUGUAAGAUUGGAGCAGAAGACAUUAAGCAUCUCCUGUUCAAGUGUAGCCAAGCAAAGCACGUGUGGGAAGCACUGGGCAUUCAUGACUUAAUU
This 738-nucleotide ribosomal RNA is filed under the name Triticum aestivum (bread wheat). Its description in RNAcentral is "partial small subunit ribosomal RNA". Lineage: Eukaryota; Viridiplantae; Streptophyta; Magnoliopsida; Poales; Poaceae. The record is from RNAcentral.